UCUUAUUCCGAGCAUUCCGGUAACUUUUUUGUGUAUGUACUUAGCUGUGCUAUAAGUAGUUGGUUUGCAUGAGAUGGUUAAAAA
Molecule: non-coding RNA, 84 nt
Organism: Pongo abelii (Sumatran orangutan)
Lineage: Eukaryota; Metazoa; Chordata; Mammalia; Primates; Hominidae
Source: Rfam